Molecule: ribosomal RNA, 207 nt
Filed under: uncultured bacterium
Lineage: Bacteria
Description: partial 16S ribosomal RNA
Rfam family: Bacterial small subunit ribosomal RNA
Source: RNAcentral
CGCCCGCCGCGCGCGGCGGGCGGGGCGGGGGCACGGGGGGCCUACGGGAGGCAGCAGUGGGGAAUGUAGGGUGAUCAGGGCGAGCCUGAUCAGCAUGCCGCGUGAGUGAUGAAGGCCUUAGGGUUGUAAAGCUCUUUUACCCGAGAUGAUAAUGACAGUAUCGGGAGAAUAAGCUCCGGCUAACUCCGUGCCAGCAGCCGCGGUAAU